UACGGAGGGUGCGAGCGUUGUCCGGAAUCACUGGGCGUAAAGGGCGCGUAGGCGGCCUGAUAAGUAGGGGGUGAAAUCCUGCGGCUUAACCGCAGGGCUGCCUUCUAAACUGUCAGGCUCGAGCACAGUAGAGGCAGGUGGAAUUCCCGGUGUAGCGGUGGAAUGCGUAGAGAUCGGGAAGAACAUCAGUGGCGAAGGCGGCUCACUGGACCGGCAUUGACGCUGAGGUGCGAAAGCGUGGGGAGCAAACAGG
RNAcentral lists this ribosomal RNA (253 nucleotides) under uncultured bacterium. RNAcentral's name for it is "partial 16S ribosomal RNA". It matches the Rfam family "Bacterial small subunit ribosomal RNA", at positions 524 to 776 of the family's 1533-position model. The record is from RNAcentral.